GAUGAACGCUGGCGGCGUGCCUAAUACAUGCAAGUCGAGCGAACAGACGAGGAGCUUGCUCCUCUGACGUUAGCGGCGGACGGGUGAGUAACACGUGGAUAACCUACCUAUAAGACUGGUAUAACUUCGGGAAACCGGAGCUAGUACCGGAUAAUCUAUUGCACCACAUGGGUCAAUGGUGAAAGACGGUUUUGCUGUCACUUCUAGAUGGAUCCGCGCCGCAUUAGCUAGUUGUUAAGGUAAAGGCUUAUCACGGCAACGAGGCGUAACCGACCUAAGAGGGUGAUAGGCGACACUGGAACUGAGACACGGUCCAGACGCCUACGAGAGGCAGCAGUAGGGAAUCUGACGCAAUGGGCGAAAGCCUGACGGAGCAACGCCGCGUGAGUGAUGAAGGUCUUCGGAUCGGAAAACUCUGUUAUUAGGGAAGAACAAAUGUGUAAGUAACUAUGCACGUCUUGACGGUACGUAAUCAGAAAGCCACGGCUAACUACGUG
Molecule: ribosomal RNA, 497 nt
Filed under: uncultured bacterium
Lineage: Bacteria
Description: partial 16S ribosomal RNA
Rfam family: Bacterial small subunit ribosomal RNA
Source: RNAcentral